CCCGCUGAACUUAAGCAUAUCAAUAAGCGGAGGAAAAGAAACCAACAGGGAUUGCCCUAGUAACGGCGAGUGAAGCGGCAACAGCUCAAAUUUGAAAUCUGGCGCAAGCCCGAGUUGUAAUUUGUAGAGGAUGCUUCUGGGCAGCGGCCGGUCUAAGUUCCUUGGAACAGGACGUCAUAGAGGGUGAGAAUCCCGUAUGCGACCGGUUGGCACCCGUCACGUAGCUCCUUCGACGAGUCGAGUUGUUUGGGAAUGCAGCUCUAAAUGGGAGGUAAAUGCCUUCUAAAGCUAAAUACCGGCCAGAGACCGAUAGCGCACAAGUAGAGUGAUCGAAAGAUGAAAAGCACUUUGGAAAGAGAGUUAAAAAGCACGUGAAAUUGUUGAAAGGGAAGCGCAUGCAACCAGACUUGUCGGCGGUGUUCCGCCGGUCUUCUGACCGGUCUACUCGCCGCCGACAGGCCAGCAUCAUCUGGGAGCGCCGGAUAAAGGUGUCGGGAAUGUGGCCCCUCGGGGUGUUAUAGCUCGUCACACAAUACGGCGCCUCUCGGGUGAGGUCCGCGCUUCGGCUAGGAUGCUGGCGUAAUGGUCGUAUGCGGCCCGUCUUGAAACACGG
This 613-nucleotide ribosomal RNA is filed under the name uncultured fungus. RNAcentral's name for it is "eukaryotic LSU rRNA". It matches the Rfam family "Eukaryotic large subunit ribosomal RNA", at positions 24 to 664 of the family's 3401-position model. The record is from RNAcentral. Lineage: Eukaryota; Fungi.